CCCUUAGAUGUCCGGGGCCGCACGCGCGCUACACUGAAGGAAUCAGCGUGGCUUUCUCCCUGACCCGAAAGGGUUGGGAAACCCGUUGAAUCUCCUUCGUGAUAGGGAUUGGGGCUUGAAAUUGUUCCCCAUGAACGAGGAAUUCCCAGUAAGCGCGAGUCAUAAGCUCGCGUUGAUUACGUCCCUGCCCUUUGUACACACCGCCCGUCGCAACUACCGAUUGAACGGUUUAGUGAGGGCCUCGGAUUGGUCUCGGCCCGCUCUUUACCGGGCGGCGCCGUUGGUCGAGAAGACGCUCGAACUUGAUCGUUUAGAGGAAGUAAAAGUCGUAACA
Molecule: ribosomal RNA, 334 nt
Filed under: uncultured eukaryote
Lineage: Eukaryota
Description: partial 18S ribosomal RNA
Rfam family: Eukaryotic small subunit ribosomal RNA
Source: RNAcentral